GCCUCAGUAGUGUAAUGAAUCAGCACGACAGACCGGAUAUGGGGGAGUGCGGGUUCGAGUCCCGCCUGAGGUU
Molecule: transfer RNA, 73 nt
Filed under: Dictyocaulus viviparus (bovine lungworm)
Lineage: Eukaryota; Metazoa; Nematoda; Chromadorea; Rhabditida; Metastrongylidae
Rfam family: tRNA
About the family: Transfer RNA (tRNA) molecules are approximately 80 nucleotides in length. Their secondary structure includes four short double-helical elements and three loops (D, anti-codon, and T loops).
Source: Rfam by way of RNAcentral